Trematomus bernacchii (emerald rockcod) is the source of this 618-nucleotide long non-coding RNA. RefSeq lists it as uncharacterized. NCBI's taxonomy places the organism in Eukaryota, Metazoa, Chordata, Actinopteri, Perciformes, Nototheniidae. The transcript has 3 exons. The record is from RefSeq and is a predicted model, not a curated record.
UGUGUAUGUGUGGUUGUAUUUAUUAGCUGGCUAAUAACAAGAGGCUGUGAGUGAGACCUAGUAUUACAAAGUUGACCCAGCAACUUUACACCAGUGGGAGAGGCAGAACUGCUCUUUCUUUUCAACAUAACUUAAGUUACACAUGAUUUCUUCCAAGUGGUUUGGCUUGUUAAAAACAUCUUACAUUUAGAUACAUUAUGAUACAGGAAAUUGCUGGCUUUGUGUUUACAGAAGUACCUGACUAUGCCGGACUUUUGUGCAGCCUACAGAUGCUCUAAUCGCCGCAGUCUGGAAACAAGAACCCGUGGAAUCACCUUUCACGUGUUUCCCAAAACCGGAGAGAGGAGGAGGCAGUGGGAAGUUGCCCUAAGAAGGCAGGACACUGCUCUGCAGUGAUCACUUCAGUUGUGAGGACUUUGACAGGACGGGGCAGACUGUCCGGCUUAAAGAUGGUGUUGUGCCAACAGUAUUCAACUUCCCAGCUCAUAUUCAAAGGCCGGAAGCAACAAGAAGCACAACCACUUCUAGAAGAGCGGAAGAUGAACCUCAGCCUAAUGUUGUGAGUAUUCUGAAUGUGGCCAAGACCAGAGAGAUGGUCAUUGAUUUCAGGAGGGUGAG